UAAAAGUAAAACAUUNACAGAGAUUAGCAUGGCCCCGGCGUAAGGAUGACAUGCAAAUUACUGAAGCAUUCCAUAUUUUU
This 80-nucleotide small nuclear RNA is filed under the name Cervus elaphus hippelaphus. Lineage: Eukaryota; Metazoa; Chordata; Mammalia; Artiodactyla; Cervidae. The record is from RNAcentral.